This 71-nucleotide transfer RNA is filed under the name Christensenia aesculifolia. Its description in RNAcentral is "tRNA-Gly". It matches the Rfam family "tRNA". From Rfam's summary of the family: Transfer RNA (tRNA) molecules are approximately 80 nucleotides in length. Their secondary structure includes four short double-helical elements and three loops (D, anti-codon, and T loops). Further hydrogen bonds mediate the characteristic L-shaped molecular structure. tRNAs have two regions of fundamental functional importance: the anti-codon, which is responsible for specific mRNA codon recognition, and the 3' end, to which the tRNAs corresponding amino acid is attached (by aminoacyl-tRNA synthetases). tRNAs cope with the degeneracy of the genetic code in two manners: having more than one tRNA (with a specific anti-codon) for a particular amino acid; and 'wobble' base-pairing, i.e. permitting non-standard base-pairing at the 3rd anti-codon position. Lineage: Eukaryota; Viridiplantae; Streptophyta; Polypodiopsida; Marattiales; Marattiaceae. The record is from RNAcentral.
GCGGGUAUGGUUUAAUGGUAAAAUGUCUCCUUGCCAAGGAGAAGACGCGGGUUCGAUUCCUGCUAUCCGCA